This 100-nucleotide ribosomal RNA is filed under the name uncultured bacterium. Its description in RNAcentral is "partial 16S ribosomal RNA". It matches the Rfam family "Bacterial small subunit ribosomal RNA", at positions 392 to 508 of the family's 1533-position model. The record is from RNAcentral.
CAACGCCGCGUGAAGGAUGAAGGCCUUCGGGUCGUAAACUUCUUUUGAGGGAGACGAGAAAGGACGGUAUCCCUCGAAUAAGCCACGGCUAACUACGUGC